This 1152-nucleotide long non-coding RNA is filed under the name Homo sapiens (human). RNAcentral's name for it is "non-protein coding lnc-SCN2A-12:5". Lineage: Eukaryota; Metazoa; Chordata; Mammalia; Primates; Hominidae. The record is from RNAcentral.
ACAGUCACCUUGACAUUGCUCACCUGCCUGGGCCUCAGCCCAUGACCAAGGAAACUUUUGCCCUCCCUCCCCAGGAGCUCACUUACAGGCCAUCUUCAAAGGUACUGCCUACCUGAACCUGCCUUGUCCCAAAGGACACACUUCAAUCUGGGGAGAGUUUAAAGUUGUAGACAUAUCCAUUUUCAUUUAAGGAAUAUGAAGAUCAGGGAGGCAAAAUAUAGAGAUAUAGAGAGGAAAAACUGAGAGAUGAUCAGAAAUUCAGACGCAUUCGGAAUGAGCACCCUUGACCAUACCAAGAACAAAGACUCUAUAAAAAUGUGAAGUCUUAUUAUUGUUCAUCCAUGUUCUACGUGGGAUCCACCCAAGACAUUGAAAACUGUACAGAACAGGGUGAAAUUGAAUCAGAUCAUUCUGUACUCCUAACAAGGUCCACCCCAUGAGAGACUUGCAGCAGAAUUAAUGACACUGUAUAUUUUCCUCUACUAACAACAACAAGAACAACAACAACAACAAUCUAGGAAAAUCAAAGGCAGCCCGACAUGGAAAAAAACACAAAAUGAAUAUUUGGAUUACAAAUAGUGUGAUGGGAAGAACACACUGCCAAAAGUCCACCUAGUAUGUUGAAAUUACUGUUUCUAGCACAUAUAAGAUGAGGAAAAGGAAGAUCAAAAAGGUCAUAUCAUUUGCUUACAUAAACAGUGAUGAAAUUCAGAUUCAACCUUGGAACUUUGGAUCUCAUGCCCUGUCACAAACGGGACUUAGGAAACCAACUGGCUUUCAUCUAGAUUUGCUGCCAAUUUGUACUGACUUCUGAAAAAUACUUUAUCCAUUGUCUUCUUACAUCAGAAUCAACUCCCUAAAUUCUUCAGCACUGGCUUUGUAAACUGGUUUCUGGUCUUUGUUUCUGGUGAAUAACAAUAAGGCAAUGUAGAAGAAAGCAAGUCCCAUCAAAGGGAGCUCCAGUCUCUAUAGACUGAUAAAAAGGAGCCUCAGAACUUAAACCUCUGGAUCAGGAGAAUCAAAAAACAUCAUGCCUCUCUAUGAUACCCGCCCAAACUCUUUCAGCUAAACAGAAGCACUUUCAAAUAUACAAUUCCGGCAGAGUCUGCAUUUUUGUUGUAAGAGCCUCAUGUUUUUAGUCAGACACAUCCG